UGAGUAACACGUAUCCAACCUGCCGUCUACUCUUGGACAGCCUUCUGAAAGGAAGAUUAAUACAAGAUGGCAUCAUGAGUCCGCAUGUUCACAUGAUUAAAGGUAUUCCGGUAGACGAUGGGGAUGCGUUCCAUUAGAUAGUAGGCGGGAUAACGGCCCACCUAGUCUUCGAUGGAUAGGGGUUCUGAGAGGAAGGUCCCCCACAUUGGAACUGAGACACGGUCCAA
Molecule: ribosomal RNA, 227 nt
Filed under: uncultured bacterium
Lineage: Bacteria
Description: partial 16S ribosomal RNA
Rfam family: Bacterial small subunit ribosomal RNA
Source: RNAcentral